Small nuclear RNA from Chionomys nivalis (European snow vole), 160 nucleotides. RefSeq annotates it as U1 spliceosomal RNA. The record is from RefSeq and is a predicted model, not a curated record. The transcript has a single exon. Lineage: Eukaryota; Metazoa; Chordata; Mammalia; Rodentia; Cricetidae.
AUACUUAGCUGGCAGGGGAGAUACCAUGAUCACCAAGGUGGUUUUCCUAGGGCCAGGCUCAUCCAUUGUGCUCCAUAUGUGCUGAGCCCUGCAAUUUCUCCAAAUGCGGGACACUCAGCUGCAAAAUUUGUGGUGGUGAGGGACUGCAUUCACACCCUCC